UACAGAGGGGGCAAGCGUUGUUCGGAAUUACUGGGCGUAAAGCGUCUGUAGGUGGCUUUUCAAGUCCGCCGUCAAAUCCCAGGGCUCAACCCUGGACAGGCGGUGGAAACUACCAAGCUGGAGUACGGUAGGGGCAGAGGGAAUUUCCGGUGGAGCGGUGAAAUGCAUUGAGAUCGGAAAGAACACCAACGGCGAAAGCGCUCUGCUGGGCCGACACUGACACUGAGAGACGAAAGCUAGGGGAGCAAAUGGG
Molecule: ribosomal RNA, 253 nt
Filed under: uncultured bacterium
Lineage: Bacteria
Description: partial 16S ribosomal RNA
Rfam family: Bacterial small subunit ribosomal RNA
Source: RNAcentral